UACGUAGGCGGAAAAUUAAGUCAGUGAUGAAAUCCUGCAGCUUAACUGUAGAACUGUUAUUGAUACUGAUUUUCUUGAAUUCAGUUGAGGUAGGCGGAAUGUGUAAUGUAGCGGUGAAAUGCUUAGAUAUUACACAGAACACCGAUUGCGAAGGCAGCUUACUAAGCUGAUAUUGACGCUGAGGCACGAAAGCGUGGGGAGCGAACAGGAUUAGAUACCCUGGUAGUCC
Molecule: ribosomal RNA, 229 nt
Filed under: uncultured bacterium
Lineage: Bacteria
Description: partial 16S ribosomal RNA
Rfam family: Bacterial small subunit ribosomal RNA
Source: RNAcentral